UCCUGGCUCAGGAUGAACGCUAGCGGCAGGCUUAACACAUGCAAGUCGAGGGGCAGCGCGGAGUAGCAAUACUCUGGCGGCGACCGGCGGAAGGGUGCGGAACACGUGAGCAACUUGCCCCGUGACAGGGGGAUACCGAUGGAAACGUCGACUAACACCCCGUAACAACGGAUCCCGCAUGGGAUUUGUUUGAAAACCGAGGUGGUCACGGAUAGGCUCGCGGUGCAUUAGCCAGUUGGCGGGGCAACGGCCCACCAAAGCAACGAUGCAUAGGGGUUCUGAGAGGAAGACCCCCCACAUUGGGACUGAGACACGGCCCAAACUCCUACGGGAGGCAGCAGUGAGGAAUAUUGGACAAUGGAGGCAACUCUGAUCCAGCCAUGCCGCGUGCGGGACUAAGGCCCUAUGGGUCGUAAACCGCUUUUGACGGAGAGCAAUAAGGGCCACGCGUGGUCCGAUGAGAGUACCCGUCGAAUAAGCAUCGGCUAACUCCGUGCC
Molecule: ribosomal RNA, 498 nt
Filed under: uncultured bacterium
Lineage: Bacteria
Description: bacterial SSU rRNA
Rfam family: Bacterial small subunit ribosomal RNA
Source: RNAcentral